UGAUGCGGUAGAGGAGCGUUCUGUAAGCCUGUGAAGGUGAGUUGAGAAGCUUGCUGGAGGUAUCAGAAGUGCGAAUGCUGACAUGAGUAACGACAAUGCGAGUGAAAAACUCGCACGCCGAAAGACCAAGGUUUCCUGCGCAACGUUAAUCGACGCAGGGUUAGUCGGUCCCUAAGGCGAGGCUGAAAAGCGUAGUCGAUGGAAAACAGGUUAAUAUUCCUGUACUUCCAGUUAUUGCGAUGGAGGGACGGAGAAGGUUAGGCCAGCCUGGCGUUGGUUGUCCAGGUUUAAGGUGGUAGGCUGAAAUCUUAGGCAAAUCCGGGAUUU
Molecule: ribosomal RNA, 327 nt
Filed under: Pseudomonas sp. CAH-1
Lineage: Bacteria; Pseudomonadati; Pseudomonadota; Gammaproteobacteria; Pseudomonadales; Pseudomonadaceae
Description: partial 23S ribosomal RNA
Rfam family: Bacterial large subunit ribosomal RNA
Source: RNAcentral